RNAcentral lists this unclassified non-coding RNA (3946 nucleotides) under Leishmania donovani. RNAcentral describes it as "gene:LdHU3.12.1640(CDS-product:hypothetical_prote in_conserved)". The record is from RNAcentral. Lineage: Eukaryota; Euglenozoa; Kinetoplastea; Trypanosomatida; Trypanosomatidae.
CUGUUCGCAUGCUUUGAGUUCAUCAUUCUUACCUGCUUCGUGUCGCCAUCUUGUUGUGUUGUCUUCUUUUUGUUUUGGCCGAGGUAGCGCACCCGUGGUAGCGCGGACCCGUGCGCGCCGUCGUUUGUUUGUGCUUGUGUUUUGUAGUACAUAACAGCCUUGCUUUCUCUUUGCGGAGCGCGGGAGCUUCUCUUGUUUCCCGCUUUCCCAUCCCUCUUUCGCAGUUCCUGCGAUCUCUUCCGUCCCUAUCUCGACGGAUUCACUCCCUGUCUGCGCACCUCUUACCAUGUUGCAUCUAACGUCGGAGCCGCAGAAGAAGAAGGGGCCGGCGGUGCCCGAGUGCAGCCGCUUUCUCCUUGGUUUGGCGCUGCUCCUCACCAUCAUCUCCGACGGCGCUAUGAACAGCCAGUUCACGGCACUCAGCACUAUCAUAACAGCCAACAGCGACCCAAGCGCCUUGCAGCAGCUGGCCACCUUUGCCGCCAUGGAAGACGUUGCGGAAGAGGAACACCUCGAUUGGGGUUCCACCGCUCGACUUGUGCAAGCGCAGCCGACGUCGCCGGCGAAGCCGCGCAAUGCGGUGCCGCCGGAUCCGACGACGCUAGGCAGCGUCUCUGCUCAUGCACACAGCCGGACAGACUCGGAGAAUAUGCUCAGCGAUGGUCUCUCCAAGUCGCUCACGGACAUCUCCACGAACGGGGUGGUCGGCAACUCGUCUGCUGCCUCGUCGUCUUCCUCUCGCCGCCGGCCCCAUCGCCGUCACCACCGCCGCAGCGGCACCGUGUCUGACGUGCCGUCCAAGGAUGAUGCUACUGCGGCGCUGAGCGCGUCCCGCCCGGUCCACAGCUACCACAUGUGGACGCAGUUUCACGUGAUGGAGAUGGCGUACAGCACCGGCUCAAACAACUUUGUCCACAUCACAGAGCGCUUCCUGGAGUACCAGCAGAUGUUUCCCAUCAUCUACUGCUGUGACGUGAAUAAGGUCGACUGCCCGUACGAGGCAGAGCUGUUGGCCUCCCCUAAGGUUGGUCUCGCAGCCUCCAGCCGGUGGAGUUGCGAGAACUGCGGUAAAAGGCACAACGUCGUCCGUGAGAGCUGCCUACGCUGCCGAGCCCCAGGAAUGUAUUCGAAACUGUUCAUCGGCCAAGCAGUAAAGGAGGUUGGCUGCACUGAGAGUCUUGUGCGCUUCUUCUACGCCACACACCCGGAUAUUGUGAUCCACCGCGCGGAGUGUCACCACGACACUGACGCCGACGCCUUGCAGCGCGGCAAAGGGUGUGCUUCCAUCUACGUCCGCCGCGAGGACGCCGCGCUGCUCCAGCAGAAACUGCAUCGAAACGCUUUCUUCGAUGUGGACAGCGUGACGGAGCAGCUGCUGGUCUACUACGUUUACGCUGAGCAGCAGCAGUGGCUGCAUAGCUAUGCGCAGCAGCGCAAUGCAGGCAUGCGGAAGCGCCCUCUGUUUUUGCCUCUGUCGCCGUUGGUGGUUGAGGAGAGUGCGUCGUCUUCGGCGCCGGCGAGGCGUGUCACCGGCCACGGGCAGGGCCGUCGGCGUCAGAGUAUUCCUGACUCCACAUCCCUCCCAUCCGAACGAGCGGUGCACUGAAAAGAGCGAUCAAAACGCGGCGAACCCAUCAUGUCUCGGCACUGGUACAAGCUGACAGAGAGUCACACCCGCCCGAGUCGGAGGUCGGCGGUGGCUGCGGCAUUCACAACGUAAGUGCGGAGGCAAACGGAAGAGGCGCAAUGGGAUCUGUGUGCGCAGAGAGUGAAUAGAUGGCGUGGACUGUUACAGUGAAUGCAUGAGAAGGAGGGGCAAUCGUGGCGUCAUUCGCCCCUGAGCAUACCUUGAAAUUUGUGGAAUAGGUCGGUAGCCACUGACGACGAGGAGAGUCCGUUGUAUCAACGGCUGAUGCCGCUGCUGUCCUUUCCGUGCCCGUUCCCCCAACCCUCCGUUCCCCCAUCAAGUGUGCAUAUACCCACGUCUUGUCGCUCGUCUCGCGUGUUUCCUCUGCCCCCCCCUCCCCUCUUUGCACGCGCACCCCGCUUUCUCCCUCUGAGGAGGAGGGCGGGUAGUAUGCUGACAGACCUUGUCCCCUGCCAAUGCCGAGCUACUACUGGUUCUGACAUGGCGUCAGGUACCUACGACACGGUGAACCCACAUGCAUUGCUGCUGGUGCCGGCGCUGAGCUCGCGCAUGUUGUUUCGUCGGAGCGACCUGCGACACUGAACACGCUUGUACUAUCCAGGUGACGGGCAGAGUGCCCGAUUGACUCAAACGUAUCGCAGCCGGCCCUUACACGGAGUAUUAGUGUGGGGAGAGGCUGAGGCCACUGCGCGGGGAUGCAGAACGUGGAGGUUGGCAUGGAGGAGGAGCGGCUGUGAGGCGACCUGUAGAGCGAGUAUUUAGAGUUUGGGGCUGAGGCCAUACUCGAGUGACGGAGUCGGCGAAGUUCCGUGACGCGUGUGUUUGCGACUGCUUCGCAUCACGCGAUGGACCUCUUACCGUGCCGGGGUUGGCGAAGAGUAAAGACGGUGGUGUUGGGCGUUUGAUUUUAUGUUAUGGGGCAGCAAAACGGACGCGUUGACGAGCCAGAAGCGAAUAGUGUGCGCUGCCCUAGCGUGUGCGUCUGCUGAUGUUGUGGCUCGUUUUCCCUCUCCCUCUCUCCCCCCAAUCGGCUCUCCGUUCUCCGCACUGGUGUCGGUUUGACGGGGGCGUCUGUAGCGGUCUUCGCAUUACCACUAUGAUUCGUCGCGCACGUACUGGUUUGUGGUCGCUUGGCCAAUUCGAGUUUUAUUUUACGGUGUUUUCCCGUAGCUUGUUCUGUCUUCUUCUUCCCUCCUAGCUAUCGCUAUACGUGUCCAUGAAUGCGUAUAUGCGGCUAUGCAUAUAUAUCUACAUGUAUAUAUAUAUAUAUACACGUACAUAAAUGUAGAUGUAUAUAUAUAUAUAUAUGCUUGUGUGUGUGUGUGAUCCCUCUUUUUUGUUCCUUUUCGAAUACCCUUUAUCUUUCAAAAUGGUUUCUUUUCUUGUGCUGAUCUGGCUUCGCCCUCGUUACGGUGAGCACGCGCACGCGCACAGGCACAGACGGGCACAAUGCCGCUGUUCUCUCAUAUCCCAUCUGCGCUUAUGUAAUGCGCGAAGGGAUUCGCUCCCUGAGUAGGUGCCGCACGAAAAAAAUGUGCUCUUCAUGCAGCGCAACACGCUCCCCCCCCUGUCAUGUGCUGCGGGGCCCUUGUCUCCGCUUCCUCAGCUUCAAGAGUGCGCACACUACCUUUCCUCGUUCAGCACCUCUUGCCACCAGACGUUCAGCUGCACCCCCACCUCCAUUCAAGUCCGCUAUGAGCCCUGCUCAGGCGGCAUUUCUUUGCUCGUUGUUGAUGUAAGCAGGAAAAGACGACUUCCGGUGACUGCAGCUCUUCUUGGGCCACAUCCGGUGGCUGGCUCGCCAAUGUAGCCUAACACAGUGGCUUAGGAGGUACACAGAGGCUGAUAUUGCCGAGCGAAGGAGUUGCGUGGCUUUGCGUGCCUCUGAGUUUCUGAUGGGGCAUGCAUGCUGGAAGCAGACUCGACGGACGAGCAGCAAGAACACGCUAUUCCGUCGUAGUGGGCCAAGACGCUGAAAUGGGGAGGGGUUAUUCCACAGCGAAGGACGACGAUCCAUCCCUGAGCAAGUCCUUCCCCCUUUCCUCCCACGUGCGUUCCGCCCACGACCUGCCUCCGCUUGUGUGUCCCCGUGUGCGCGCCUCUGCGUAUGUCUCUCUCCUUUUAUCGUGGUGUGCACGGAGCAGCACCGAUAUCGCGGUCUGUAGGGAACAGAGGGGCGUACAAGAGUGAGUGCAGAGAAGCGACGUCCUCCAGGUCUUCGUAGCCGGCUAAGUAUCCCUCCGUUUGCAUGCUUGGUGACCGAUAAGGGGGCGAUAAAGGAGAAGGUCGAAAUAAGCG